CCUACGGGGGGCAGCAGUGGGGAAUAUUGAGCAAUGGGCGCAAGCCUGACCCAGCAACGCCGCGUGAAGGAAGAAGGCUUUCGGGUUGUAAACUUCUUUUCUCAGGGACGAAGCAAGUGACGGUACCUGAGGACUAAGCCACGGCUAACUACGUGCCAGCAGCCGCGGUAAUACGUAGGUGGCAAGCGUUAUCCGGAUUUACUGGGUGUAAAGGGCGUGUAGGCGGGAAAGCAAGUCAGAUGUGAAAACCAUGGGCUCAACCUGUGGCCUGCAUUUGAAACUGUUUUUCUUGAGUACUGGAGAGGCAGACGGAAUUCCUAGUGUAGCGGUGAAAUGCGUAGAUAUUAGGAGGAACACCAGUGGCGAAGGCGGUCUGCUGGACAGCAACUGACGCUGAGGCGCGAAAGCGUGGGGAGCAAACAGGAUUAGAUACCCCAGUAGUC
Molecule: ribosomal RNA, 443 nt
Filed under: uncultured bacterium
Lineage: Bacteria
Description: partial 16S ribosomal RNA
Rfam family: Bacterial small subunit ribosomal RNA
Source: RNAcentral